GGGGGUGUGGCUCAGCAGGAGAGCACUCGCCUAGCAUGUGUGAGGUCCUGAGUUUGAUCCUCGGUACCACAU
This 72-nucleotide transfer RNA is filed under the name Ictidomys tridecemlineatus (thirteen-lined ground squirrel). RNAcentral describes it as "Spermophilus tridecemlineatus (thirteen-lined ground squirrel) tRNA". It matches the Rfam family "tRNA". Rfam says of the family: Transfer RNA (tRNA) molecules are approximately 80 nucleotides in length. Their secondary structure includes four short double-helical elements and three loops (D, anti-codon, and T loops). Lineage: Eukaryota; Metazoa; Chordata; Mammalia; Rodentia; Sciuridae. The record is from Rfam by way of RNAcentral.